Molecule: long non-coding RNA, 971 nt
Organism: Daphnia magna
Lineage: Eukaryota; Metazoa; Arthropoda; Branchiopoda; Diplostraca; Daphniidae
Exons: 5
Source: RefSeq, a predicted model, not a curated record
AAGCAUCUUCUAGACACUGCUACAAGAACAAGAAAUAUUCAUCGACCACUGACAACUUUGAGUACAAAUCAAGUUGUGAAGAAGAAACAUUAUUCAAGAUCAAAGAACAUUUCUUCCAUUUUGGGUUUUCCAUGUAGAGAAUCCUCCGCUGUUGUCUCAAACAAUACCACCACACAAUGUAGCUCAAAUCCAAUUGACGUGUCAUUGCCACUUGACUCUGCCAACAUUUCUAUUACGUCACAGCCAGAAAGCCCACAUACGAUAGAAUUAAAUGGCCAUUCAACAGAUGAUGUGCCUUUUUUUGAGUAAGUUAACCUGGCUGAGGCUUCUGUUGGAUGUAAUGAUGCAGAUUCUGCCAUAGAUGCACUUGCCUUUCAAUAUUUACAAAAGAAUGUGAAACUUCCAUCUAACUCUUGGAACUGGAAUUAUAACGGCAAAACCGCUGCCUGCAUGACAUGGUUGGAUACCAAUGAUGGAAAUGUUGUGAUAAAGACACUAAGAGUUCUAUGAACAACAAGGUUGUCCUUCCACAUUGGGGGUAAACUAAUUUCACUGCCGAAUGGCAAAUGUAGCUAUCGCGACUAUGACGAACAAAGUGGAUUUAUCAAAACCCUCGACCGCCAGAAUGUGUGCAAAGGAAUCGCGAAUUCUUUGGUAGUGAACGUUACGGGAAAAUUCGCUAUUUCAAGGGAUGGCGAUGUUUCUCGGUCGUCACGCUGUAGCUCUUUAUCAAAUGUGAACAGUGAGCUUUGCACUGCAUGUUCGAAGGCCCUGAGGUACAUCAGGAAGAGAAGCGUCAUUAACAAAAAUAGAAUGAUUUCAAAGAGGAAGCUGGCUGUGAAGAAUAAAAAAAUUAGGCGAAUGAAGUCACGAGAAGUGGUUUUUGCAUCGGAACUGAAAUUAACGCGAAACAAGUGCCGCGCGUUAACGGUGAAUUUAAGGUACAACAGUUUUGAAGCUGUAAUUAAUAA